This 1062-nucleotide long non-coding RNA is filed under the name Mustela putorius furo (domestic ferret). RNAcentral describes it as "lncRNA (ENSMPUG00000030573.1)". Lineage: Eukaryota; Metazoa; Chordata; Mammalia; Carnivora; Mustelidae. The record is from RNAcentral.
UAGGAGGCUCCCCCGGAGUAGGAGGGAUGGGCCGCCCCCUGCCCCUCAGUUCAUUGUCUGACUGAGGUCUGUGUCCUCUCAAAAUUCCUGUGUUGAAGUCCUAACCCCACAGUGAUGGUGUUAGGAGGUGGGAGCCUUUGGGAGAUAAUUCCUGAGGAUGGGGCCCUCAUGAAUGGAAUUUAAGUGACCUGAUAAGAAGAAACACAAGAAAGGAGCUCUCUCUCUUCACCAUGGGACAAUACAGGAAGAAAGCAGUCAUCUAUAAACCAGAAAGAGCUGUCACCUGGAACCAAAUCAGCCAGCACCUUGAUCUUGGACUUCCAGCCUCCAGAACUGAACUACUAAGGACACAAAACAGAAUACUUGGUCCGUGAGCCCCAGGUGACAGCACAGCAGGGGAGAUCAGCAGGGACCAACAGGAAAGUGUGUCAGGAAAAGACAGACAGGAUCUGCUCAUCUGGUCCACAGGGCUCACAUGGGCUUCUCUUUGAAGAUGCUGUCAGUGUUGAGUGAUAUGAUGAAACGUCGAAUCACUUUUGUUUAGUAAAAAAAAAAUUUGAAAGAGAAUGGCAAGCACCUGGGUCAGACAUAAAGAAAAAGAGAAUGGCCUUGUGACUACACUGCACCCACCUUCAGUAGUCGGGCAGGACUGGUGGGAGUUCCAUGUCAGGCCUGGACACAUUCUUCAAUUUUCUUCCAAAAUUCUGUGAUGAGCCCACAACCCAAGCAGAGCAUCAUCAGCCCACUGGAGGCCAGCUGCCCCUGUAGAGUGAGAAAACCCAAGAUGGUGGGCUUGCACACCCAGGAUGGCACUGUGUUCUACCACCUGUAAGGAGUUGUGUGUCUUUGGGCAAGUGACACAAAGUCUUUGAGCCCCAGUCUGUUCCACGGAAAACUGAGACAACACUUCCUACCCCAUAGAGUACUGUGAGAUUCACAUUUACCAUGAUUAGAGUUAAAUCGGGAAGACAGAACCAAACCAAUGACCACGAAAGGGUUUCUGACCCUACCUUAACUUCCCAACUACAGGCAGAAUUCAACAUUCUAAAUAAAACAGUCAUA